RNAcentral lists this ribosomal RNA (548 nucleotides) under Aspergillus ostianus. RNAcentral describes it as "eukaryotic LSU rRNA". The stretch from base 181 to 334 matches the Rfam family "5.8S ribosomal RNA". The record is from RNAcentral. Lineage: Eukaryota; Fungi; Ascomycota; Eurotiomycetes; Eurotiales; Aspergillaceae.
AAGGAUCAUUACUGAGUGAGGGUCCCUCGGGGCCCAACCUCCCACCCGUGUAUACCGUACCUUGUUGCUUCGGCGAGCCCGCCCCCCGUCCUUCGGGGGAGCACAGCGCUCGCCGGAGACACCAACGUGAACACUGUCUGAAGUUUUGUCGUCUGAGUCGAUUGUGUCGCAAUCAGUUAAAACUUUCAACAAAGGAUCUCUUGGUUCCGGCAUCGAUGAAGAACGCAGCGAAAUGCGAUAAUUAAUAUGAAUUGCAGAAUUCAGUGAAUCAUCGAGUCUUUGAACGCACAUUGCACCCCCUGGUAUUCCGGGGGGUAUGCCUGUCCGAGCGUCAUUGCUGCCCUCAAGCACGGCUUGUGUGUUGGGUCGUCGUCCCCCCCAGGGGGACGGGCCCGAAAGGCAGCGGCGGCACCGCGUCCGGUCCUCGAGCGUAUGGGGCUUUGUCACUCGCUCUUGUAGGCCCGGCCGGCUGCUGGCCGACGCUGAAAAGCAACCAACUAUUUCUCCAGGUUGACCUCGGAUCAGGUAGGGAUACCCGCUGAACUUAA